UGCCCAGCAAAUCCUAUUGCUACCUCUUCGCGGUACUGGCCAGGGUACAAAUAAUCUUAGGAAAGAUCGGAUAACCAACUCAGGUGGGAACUCUGACGUAUGCUGACAGGGAAGG
This 115-nucleotide ribozyme is filed under the name Aedes aegypti (yellow fever mosquito). RNAcentral describes it as "drz-agam-1 ribozyme". It matches the Rfam family "drz-agam-1 ribozyme". Lineage: Eukaryota; Metazoa; Arthropoda; Insecta; Diptera; Culicidae. The record is from Rfam by way of RNAcentral.